AGAGCAGCCUGUCUCUUGGAUGGAGUACCAGUAGCUUUGAAAAAAGUACAGAUAUUUGAUUUAAUGGAUGCCAAAGCACGUGCUGAUUGCAUCAAAGAAAUAGAUCUCCUCAAGCAACUCAACCAUCCAAAUGUAAUUAAAUAUUAUGCAUCAUUCAUUGAAGAUAAUGAACUAAACAUAGUUUUGGAAUUAGCAGAUGCUGGUGAUCUAUCCAGAAUGAUAAAGCAUUUUAAGAAGCAAAAGAGGCUAAUUCCGGAAAGAGCUGUCUGGAAGUACUUUGUUCAGCUCUGCAGCGCGUUGGAACACAUGCAUUCUUGAAGAGUCAUGCACAGAGAUAUAAAACCAGCUAAUGUGUUCAUUACAGCCACUGGGGUGGUGAAACUUGGAGAUCUUGGGCUUGGCCGGUUUUUCAGCUCCAAAACCACAGCUGCACAUUCUUUAGUGGGUACACCUUAUUACAUGUCUCCAGAGAGAAUACAUGAAAAUGGAUACAACUUCAAAUCUGACAUCUGGUCUCUUGGCUGUCUGCUGUAUGAGAUGGCUGCAUUACAGAGUCCUUUCUAUGGUGACAAAAUGAAUUUAUACUCGCUGUGUAAGAAGAUAGAACAGUGUGACUACCCACCUCUUCCUUCAGAUCACUAUUCAGAGGAACUACGACAGUUAGUGAAUAUGUGCAUCAACCCAGAUCCCGAGAAGCGACCAGACAUCACCUACGUUUAUGAUGUGGCUAAGAGAAUGCACGCGUGCACCGCGAGCAGCCGAACAGUGCAAGACCAUGAGGAACAGCAUACAAAUAAUUUAAAGUAUUGUCGUGCAAAUCAUACCUCCCCGUUUAUGUCUGGGUGUUAAGAUUAAUAUUCAGAGCUCAUGUGCUUUGACUCCUUAACCAGUUUUCACAUAAGCUUCAUUUUGUACCAAUGUAAAUCACCUUGUAACCCCCAAAUGACUUUGGAAAAAUCAAAUUGCAUGUUUGGAGAAUAAAAGAAACAGGAUGGUUUUCAAUAGAUAAAGGUUUAUAGAAUCGUUUAGAGUUUUCUGCAGAUAAAUUGUGUUCAGAU
This is an RNA transcript of Otolemur garnettii (small-eared galago), 1058 nucleotides long. It is a transcript of the gene named serine/threonine-protein kinase Nek7 pseudogene, with no coding region annotated. The transcript has a single exon. The record is from RefSeq and is a predicted model, not a curated record. Lineage: Eukaryota; Metazoa; Chordata; Mammalia; Primates; Galagidae.